This 2863-nucleotide long non-coding RNA is filed under the name Bemisia tabaci. RNAcentral's name for it is "lncRNA ENSSWEETPG006290". Lineage: Eukaryota; Metazoa; Arthropoda; Insecta; Hemiptera; Aleyrodidae. The record is from RNAcentral.
AUGGCAUCUUUUUGUCGGAUCGACCUCCAAGUUGCGUUAAAUUUCGCUUUGAGUCGGCUUUCAUUUCUAAGGAGGCAAGUCGAUCUUUGGUUUUUGAGAUACGCUGCUGCCUUGUUUUUGUUGGAAGCGUGGAGGGAGCUCAUUAUUCCUUGUGAAGUUGCGAGCAUGAGAUUGACCAUCAGGCCCACGAUCAUUGCGAAGAUCACGAUCCUUAUGGAUGAAACUGGCCUUGUCACCCAGCUGAGUCAGUUGCCUAAAAUCGUUGCCAUCCUUGACGACUGGUUGAUUUCCAACCGUUACAGUUUGAUUAGUCGACAUCUUUCCGGAGGUAGCAACUGUGUCAUCUUUGUGGUCGAUAACCUGGCGUGAGCUGGACAUGCUGUUGACAUCGUUGGGGACAUUCUCCUUUCCCUCAUUGGACUAAAAUAAGAGAAAACAGGAUGACAGAAUUAAAGACAAAUGAAUACAGUUAUUUCACAGUGAUCAGAGGAAUAGGGAAAAAGCCUCUGUGGAUAGAGGAAUGAAUUUCCCCUACAGUGAUGCUUAAAUGAAUCUUCUUUGUCCCAAAAUAUUAAUAGAUCUGGUGAAUCAAGCAAUCAUCGAGCUUAUCAUCAGUCUAUUCAUUUUACUUACUUAAUUAAUAUAUAUGUUUACAUACAUAUUUUUGCAGAUCUUUUGAUGUUUUCUUUGAAAGUAUUUAACAGUAGAAAGACAACCAAAGCCGAAUCACCGCACACAGAUGUAGAGAAAUCUUGGCAUUCUCAUUUUAAAAACUCCUAUAACUGCAGCAAUGUCUGGGAGAUUCAGCUCUAAAUGUAACAAUUACAAGCUCUAAAUGUAACAAUUUCACACAAAAACUCAUGAAUUAAACUGCAGGGGUGGUGUACAUAAAAAACUUGGGAUGGGAGGACCCACCUUACACUGAAGAAGAAAAUACGCCCUCCUUUGAAUGGCAGAUGAAAAAUGUUCUUCAUUUUUGGCAGGAAAGCUCAUGCGUAAAAAUAAGUACCCCGCACUGGAGCACAUGUCAGUUUUGAAAAAAUUGCAUUUCACACCAACUUGUCAGAUAUAAAUACUAAGCUUCUGAAAUACACUUAGUUUCAGAAAAUUGGACGAUUUUAGGGGAGAUCAAAGGCACUACUCAUGAAUGAUGCAAAUAUGGAGGACUCACUCCGGGUGUCUAGCAAUUUUCAAAAAAAAAUUCCCUGACACAUCCUUGACAAAAUGAGCCAAAAACUGGAAAAAAAUUAAAGUUCCCUGACAGACAAAAAAAUUGUUCCCUAACAGAACGGAAAUAUUCCAAAUAUUUCGACACAAUUAAAUUGAUUAGAUGUAAAUUAGGAUUUUUCGUGUUUUGGGAAUAUAAUGUAAUAAAUAAAGCAAAAUAUAUGGUGCCUAAACUUAUUCAAGACAUUUUUGCCUCAUUUUAAAAUUUAAAGGACAUCGGCAGAAAUUCUGGUAGAAGUUUUGGUAUCAAUUAUUCAUCAUCAACUUUUAACAAGAAAACAUUUAUUGAAAAAUCUGUGUUUUCGAUUCCCUUGACACGAAAAUGGCUUGCAAAAUAAAAAGAGUCAAUUAAGCUCGGGAAGGAUUUGCCUGCAAAUAAGCGAAUCUUACAGUUUUUGGUACAAGAAGAACGAUGCGUUGUUAAAUUUCACGAAAAGUUGUAACGCUUCCUUUUCAGGGGUCCUCCAAAACAUGUUUGAGCCGACCACCGUGAAUCUUCGAAUCUACGCGUCAUGGAUGGAAGAUGGCGGCGGCGAAGUCAACCUACUUACUAACACCACGCUGUCAUUGUUGACAUCUCGAUUUCUCGUUUGAGGUUAAGUGAGCUCUGUGCUCUGUUAUUGUAUUGUGAUAACGAGAGUUAAAAUUACAUUGUGCAAGGACAUUAAUGACUGUUUAAUACCCUCACUACAAUGCAUAAAAGAGUGAAAUAUAAGCUUAGUCGAUGUUUUGUGCCCAGCUGUAAAAUUAGAUCAUCAGCUGCUGAGACAACGCAAACGCGAUGCCACCGUGUAUUUUUCUACUACGCAUUCUGCCGCCAUAUUGAUCGUGACAUGUAGAUUCGAAACCUACAAGCGCGUAGUUCAAACGCCGUUUUAGGCUACCCUAAUUUUUGGCACUUUCAAGGUAACUUUUCUCCUGUUUGCAGUCAUCAAAAAAAAUUAGGAGAAAAACUGUAAGCUUCUGUCACUUACUACUUUCGAGUGAUACAAUAAAAAAAAUGACUUAUCUGACUCAUUCCCUGGCAUGCUAAAUUAUAGCGGAUUUCCUGACGUUUUCCUCAAUUUCCCUGACACUAAAAAAUAUUCCCUUACUUUUCCCCGUCACUAGACACUCUGCCACAAAAAGAGGCAAAACAAACUUGACAUCCUAGUAUACUUACACUGAGGCUAGAUUUAUCUGAAAGUUUAGAGCGCCUCCUUUCUUCAUAUGCACGCUCCUCUUCCUCCUUACGUUUAUUAGCUCUUUCAACGAUGCUGUCUAUUUCAUUGUGUUGUCUGCGGCGAUAACCAUCAUCUUCAUUAUUUUCGCGCCCAACCUGAAAAGGAAUAUUACAAUUUAAUUGUUUUGACUACAACGAUUAUAAUUAGGGUUAGCAGCUUCAUCACUUUAUUCAUUCCUUAACUUUCUAUUAACCAAUAGAUAGUUUUCCUUGAACUUCAUAUGCUACACUUGAACAUCCUGAUGGCCGAAAAAAGGGGCUAUUUGGUUUGCGGCUUGAUUAACAAGCGAAUUUUCAACAUGAUGCAAGCAAAUCCUGACUUCAAUGUUUAUCAAAUAUUUGCCACAAAAAAUGUUACAAUAUGCUGCCGUGCAACGCAAGAACGCCGUAACUCCACUGCCGCGCGAACCGAGA